Melospiza melodia melodia is the source of this 1857-nucleotide long non-coding RNA. RefSeq lists it as uncharacterized. The record is from RefSeq and is a predicted model, not a curated record. The transcript has 3 exons. NCBI's taxonomy places the organism in Eukaryota, Metazoa, Chordata, Aves, Passeriformes, Passerellidae.
CAAACACAUCAUGUGUGAUCUAGAACUGGCUGAAUCAAGGAAACAGCUACAUUGAUUUUAGGCAUCAACUUUGAUGUAAAUAAUGAAGCAACAAUAAGAAGAAUCUUGACUGCAGCAGGUGCCCUGCCUUUGAAAGGGUCCUGUAAGUCAAAUGAUUCUGUUGCUUCUCUCAUGUUCCAUCCACAGAGGGAAAUGUUGCUUGAAGAAAGGCCAUAUGCACUGGUGGAUGAUUCUGCUGACUAUUUUUAAGGAAAGAUGUCUGUUCUGAGAAUGUGACAGCUGAAUCUGUCGCCUCUGACCUUCACAAUUAAAAUAAAUUGAUGAUCAGCUGGUGGGUGGGACUAACAGUGGCAAGGAUAUGCUGAUGUAAAUACAUAAAUCCAAUGUAUGUCCCAGUUACUCUGUCCACAAGAUUUUGUCUGUUUUGUCACCCUUUACUUACCUUGUGGGGGAGAUGCUUAUUUCUCUUCAUCCAUCUGUGGUUCUACUGGAUUUUCUACAUACUGAGUUUUUGCCAGUUGGAACACUGAGCUGUGUUUCUGAUCAAAAUGAGUUGAGUGAUUCCAAUUUGACUGAAUGAUGGAAACCCCAAAUCCUUCCAGCCUGCAGUGGUGUCAGAGAAGGACUAUUAUGUUUUCAACAGCUGAUGGUGUACCCAGAAACAGAUAUUGUUUUCUCUUUUCAGCCCUUUUCCUUCCUUUCUGGGGACUGUAAUGCACUUAGGAGUUCAGCUGUUUAUAAUGAGGGGAUUUCAAUCUGGUUUGAGCUAAUUCUAGCAAGUAAGUACCUUUAUAGACUCACCUUUGGCACAAGUUAAAAUGGUCUACUUAUCCAGAGAAUGGACCUAAAAAGUGCAAUCAUCACUUGAUCUGCCAUUCUGAAGCAAGGCUGUCUAUUGAAUGUCCCUAUUUUGUUUUGGUGGUAUUGAUUCCCCAGAACUGAUUGCAUUUCAGGAAGCAGCACACCUCUUUCUUCCUCAGGCUCUCCUCAACAACCACUUUGUCUUAGCAGUGGUGGCUGAGCUGCUAAAGCUGCUGCUUUAGAGAAAGCAGAUUUAGCAGGAACUAAUCUAAAAGCCAAAAAAAACCAAAAAAGAAGGCCAGACCCCUCAAAGAAUUGGCAUGACCUUCAGGUGGGCCAGUGCAUUGGAGUGGUCAUAAUGGAAUUAAUCUACAUCUGCACCUGGUGGGGAAAAGUCAUGGAGUGAAGCAGGAUCUGUUUUUACUGAGAUCCACAACAUGAGCAUGAUUUAUCCCUGUUUUGCUCCUGUAUGGCUCUGUUAGCUGCACUUAGUGGUCUGAGGGGUUUACUGUAAAGAUGUUUUCUCCUGGUUCUGUUCCCAGUUGCUGUAAAUCAGAAGCUGUUUCACUGAGCUUGUGACUGGAGUUGUAUAAAACUAGUGCAGAUUCUGGGGUUUUUUUCAAGAAUUUCAAAGAAUCCUGUUUAUUGCAUAGUAUUUUUGGCUGUCAGCAACAAAUGACUGUUUCUGGAUGAAUUGCUGCUCCCAUGUGUGAGAGGGUUGGAUGCUGCUUUAGGUAAAGCCCAGAGAAGGAUUGCGGUAAAAUUGCUCAGGCCAACAAAUCUUCUGUGAUUUCUGGAAUUCUGUCCCAGGGUCAUUAGAAUCAAGCUCCAACUUGUGUAAGAAAGUCUUUCAACAGCUUUUGUAAUGAAGUUUUUGUUGAGGAAGGACAAAGAUUGCCCCAAACUUUUGCAGUGGCUCUGAAGAUGCUGUGUGGAUUUGGGGGGAGAGAGACCAUUUCUCCCACGUUGGAAAGGACCCCAGUGUGCCCGAGGACACAGGUUGCUGAUAGCAGGAUACAGAUCCCCUCAAUUCCUGGGUAAUUCUGAAAACUGUGU